This 459-nucleotide ribosomal RNA is filed under the name uncultured bacterium. Its description in RNAcentral is "partial 16S ribosomal RNA". It matches the Rfam family "Bacterial small subunit ribosomal RNA", at positions 338 to 795 of the family's 1533-position model. The record is from RNAcentral.
CCUACGGGAGGCAGCAGUGAGGAAUAUUGGUCAAUGGCCGGAAGGCUGAACCAGCCAAGCCGCGUGAAGGACGAAGGUGCCAAGCAUUGUAAACUUCUUUUGUCAAGGGACAAAAUCAGGCUCGAGAGCCUGACCGAGGGUACUUGAAGAAAAAGCAUCGGCUAACUCCGUGCCAGCAGCCGCGGUAAUACGGAGGAUGCGAGCGUUAUCCGGAUUUAGUGGGUUUAAAGGGUGCGUAGGCGGACUGUUAAGUCAGCGGUAAAAGCCCGGGGCUCAACCCCGGCGAGCCGUUGCAACUGGCUGUCUUGAGAUGUCGAGAGGUAUGCGGAAUGCGCAGUGUAGCGGUGAAAUGCUUAGAUAUUGCGCAGAACUCCGAUUGCGAAGGCAGCAUACCGGCGGCGAUCUGACGCUGAGGCACGAAAGCGUGGGUAUCGAACAGGAUUAGAUACCCGAGUAGUC